GGGGAAAUAGCUCAGUCGGUUAGAGUGCUGGUCUGUCACGCCAGAAGUCGCGGGUUCGACCCCCGUUUUCCCCG
RNAcentral lists this transfer RNA (74 nucleotides) under Picea glauca (white spruce). RNAcentral describes it as "tRNA-Asp". It matches the Rfam family "tRNA". From Rfam's summary of the family: Transfer RNA (tRNA) molecules are approximately 80 nucleotides in length. Their secondary structure includes four short double-helical elements and three loops (D, anti-codon, and T loops). RNAcentral also lists the same sequence under 1 other name. The record is from RNAcentral. Lineage: Eukaryota; Viridiplantae; Streptophyta; Pinopsida; Pinales; Pinaceae.